Molecule: small RNA, 148 nt
Filed under: Pongo abelii (Sumatran orangutan)
Lineage: Eukaryota; Metazoa; Chordata; Mammalia; Primates; Hominidae
Description: Metazoan signal recognition particle RNA (ENSPPYG00000039149.1)
Source: Rfam by way of RNAcentral
GCUGGGCAUGGUGGUGCAUGCCUGUAAUCCCAGUUACUCGGGAGGCUGAGGUGAGAGAAUCACUUGAACCCAGGAGGUGGAGGUUGCAGUGAGCUAAGAUCGCACCACUGCCCUCCAGCCUGGGCGACAAAGUGAGACCUUGUCUCAA